RNAcentral lists this ribosomal RNA (497 nucleotides) under uncultured bacterium. Its description in RNAcentral is "partial 16S ribosomal RNA". It matches the Rfam family "Bacterial small subunit ribosomal RNA", at positions 28 to 507 of the family's 1533-position model. The record is from RNAcentral.
GACGAACGCUGGCGGCGUGCCUAAUACAUGCAAGUUGAGCGCUGAAGGUUGGUACUUGUACCAACUGGAUGAGCAGCGAACGGGUGAGUAACGCGUGGGGAAUCUGCCUUUGAGCGGGGGACAACAUUUGGAAACGAAUGCUAAUACCGCAUAAAAACUUUAAACACAAGUUUUAAGUUUGAAAGAUGCAAUUGCAUCACUCAAAGAUGAUCCCGCGUUGUAUUAGCUAGUUGGUGAGGUAAAGGCUCAACAAGGCGAUGAUACAUAGCCGACCUGAGAGGGUGAUCGGCAAAAUUGGGAAUGAGAAAAGGCCCAAAAUCCUACGGGAGGCAGCAGUAGGGAAUAUUCGGCAAUGGACGAAAGUCUGAACGAGCAAAGCCGCGGGAGUGAAGAAGGUUUUCGGAUUGUAAAACUCUGUUGGUAGAGAAGAACGUUGGGGAGAGUGGAAAGCUCAUCAAGUGACGGUAACUACCCAGAAAGGGACGGCUAACUACGUG